AGUGAACGCUGGCGGUAGGCCUAACACAUGCAAGUCGAACGGCAGCACAGUAAGAGCUUGCUCUUACGGGUGGCGAGUGGCGGACGGGUGAGGAAUACAUCGGAAUCUACUUUUUCGUGGGGGAUAACGUAGGGAAACUUACGCUAAUACCGCAUACUACCUACGGGUGAAAGCAGGGGAUCUUCGGACCUUGCGCGAUUGGAUGAGCCGAUGUCGGAUUAGCUAGUUGGCGGGGUAAAGGCCCACCAAGGCGACGAUCCGUAGCUGGUCUGAGAGGAUGAUCAGCCACACUGGAACUGGGACACGGUCCAGACUCCUACGGGAGGCAGCAGUGGGGAAUAUUGGACAAUGGGCGCAAGCCUGAUCCAGCCAUACCGCGUGGGUGAAGAAGGCCUUCGGGUUGUAAAGCCCUUUUGUUGGGAAAGAAAAGCAGCAGGUUAAUCCCCCGCUGUUCUGACGGUACCCAAAGAAUAAGCACCGGCUAACUUCGUG
This 492-nucleotide ribosomal RNA is filed under the name uncultured bacterium. RNAcentral's name for it is "partial 16S ribosomal RNA". It matches the Rfam family "Bacterial small subunit ribosomal RNA", at positions 29 to 507 of the family's 1533-position model. The record is from RNAcentral.